This 3211-nucleotide long non-coding RNA is filed under the name Salvia miltiorrhiza (redroot sage). RNAcentral's name for it is "long non-coding RNA (SMIL_LNC008451)". The record is from RNAcentral. Lineage: Eukaryota; Viridiplantae; Streptophyta; Magnoliopsida; Lamiales; Lamiaceae.
AUGAAAAAAUAUGAUGGGGUUGAGGAACUUAUUUUUUGGGUAGCUUAUAAGAUGUUAGAGCUCAUUUCGUGUUUAUUUUUGCCAAACAAUUCUGAAGAGCUUAUAAGUUGUUUAAGGAUCCUAUAACCUCAGCCAAACCAUCUCUUAGUUCAAUUUUUGUUAUCUUUGUUAAUUCAUCGAUGAGUUAAUGUUGAAAGAUUUGACUGUGAUGCUAACUGGAGAUAAAAUGCAUAUUUUGUUGGUGGGGUACUAUUUCAUUUGUGAAGUUCUCAAGUGGUGAAUGUUGACUAAGAUGUAAGCUGAUGGGUAAAUUGAUUAGAUAACAUUUAUGAUGAGCUUGAUUGAGUAGAAAGAGAAGAAAAACACCACAUACCAGCUACUUACUAUUGGUAAAAUGAGCAAGCUUUGUUGAUAUGAUUGGAGUUGAAUGCUAUACGUGGAAAAUUGAUAAUGCUGCAGCUGGUAAAAUGAUUUAUUAUUCAAAAUAUAUAUCCAUUAAGAAAGUAAGUACCAAAUUGUUGAAUAUGCAACUUAAUUCCACUUAUUAUUAUCAGUGCAUGUUAUUUUUAGGCUGCCGGUUCUUUUAAACACAUUCCUACAUUCAAAGGAAGAUUUUACUUUUGCAAUGCUAGUUAGUACCUCUGUAGACUGGCUUGACUUAUCAAUUGAUCGAGAUAUUUGAUUGUUGCCGGACAAACUUCUAGUGUUAUUCUUCCUUUUGCUGCUGCUACUUCGUUGCAUUUAGUCUGUACUUUUUCUGAUGAGGACUGUCGCAGGUGGAUGGUUCAUUUCAUUCACCAGAAUGGCAUGCUGCUCGUUUGGCAAGUCUCAAAACUUCUCAUACAAUUACGUGGGAGGAGUACAAGAAGAAGCAAAAGGUGAUUUAUGGGAUUGUGUUCUUUUAGGAUUGCAUGUCUUGUAUCUUUCAUAAUUCUGUGUCGGUUGACCACAUUCUAUCUUUUUACUUGGUUCAAGCUUAAACGGUGCUUGUUAGCAUAAAUAUGUUAGAGCCUAACGGUGUAAUUGCUAGGAGGAAGAAAUGAGAANUCAAGUAAGAACCACCGAAUAAAAUAAGAUUAGAGAACCAUUUUUCAGUUCUUUGAUCAUCAAGAUCUACGACGGAUGCAUUAUCUUGCUGGAUGAAUGCAUCAUUUGGGUUCGAAUCUUAGAUGGAGCGAAAUUUUAUUUUUUAAGUCCACGAAAAAUAUAGUUUUCACCACACCCAAAAGUUAAUAGGAGUAUAUGCAUAUAUACUUAAGCAUAUUUUCGGCCCAAAAAGCAUACGUAUCCAUUAUUCUUUGCCCAAACCAAAUGUGUUAAUGGCCCAAUUUUUUUUUUUGAAGACCAUUAUUCUUUUUUCUUGAAAGAAGCCCAUUAUUGUAAUCUUUGUCAAUUGUCACCAAAAUAAAAUGUUUAAAUUAAAUAAACAUUGCCUUUGAAAAACAUAACAAAACAUUGGAAAAUAUAAUAGUCGCUUCUUUCAAAAUUAUUAAAAAGAAUGAUAUUAUACUUUAAUUUUAAUUUUUAUAUAAUUAUAAAAUUAAUAAUCUCAAUAAUAUUUUAUUAAGUACUAGAAAAUCAAGAUAAAUAUAUAAAAUAAAAAUAAUACCGAUCAUUGGUAUGAUAGAAAUAGAUAUGUUGCAUAUAUAAUUAUAUAUAUAAAAUAUAUAAAUUUGGUACUCCCUCCGUCCCAAUAAAAGUGGCCACAUUUCCUUUUUGGGUGUCCCAUUAAAAGUGGCUACUUUCUAAAAAUGGCAAAAGUUUACUUUAAUUAAGUCAACAACUACUCACUAAUUUGGUCAACAAUUGUAGGCCACUUUCUAAAAAUGUCAAAAUUACUCACUAAUUUGGUCAACAAUUGUAGGCCACUUUCUAAAAAUUACUCACUAAUUUUGGUGGGUCACACUCAAUUAAAACAUAACAAUCCCCUUCUUAAUCUCCGUGCCCAAAAAAAAGUGGUCACUUUUAUUGGGACGGAGGGAGUAAUAAAUUUCAGAUAAUAAUGAUAGUAAAUCAGCCCCCAAAUUCCAACCCUUGUUCUACCUCACAAAGCCCGCACAAACAACAAAACCACCAUUUUCAUCCUCAAUAAUUCUCCAUAAAUUCAUGGAAUAAAUUUAAUUUUCGGAUUCUAUGUUUUUUUUCAUGAUUCUCAUCUCCAAAUUCUUCUCGGGAAUUAUAUGAUAAAAUUGUAUAAUUUACUAUAACAAAAAAUGGGGAAAAAUCAAGCGUACAAAGCGAUGCAAAGAUCUCGGCUUGGCUCGAGCUCCGCCGCGCCGGAUGAGGUUGAAGAUGGCAUGGUUCGUACCCUUUCAUACUGUAUACUGUAGCGCGUUUGUUGAUUUUUUCUCUUUAGGUGUUGGAUUUAGUUGAUGGAGAUGCUAAACUUCAUGAUAAUUUGUGAUAUAAUUAAUGAAUUAAUUGAAUUACGCUAUAAAACUGAGUGCAUUAAAUUGACUUCGGAGGAUUUAUGAUGAAAAUGUGUAGUGACUUGAUGCUGAGAAAGAGUGUUGGAGAACUGAUAUUAGCUGGAAAAUUUUGUAUUUAGCGUUUCUUUCUUUUAUCUGUUACUGAAUUGGGACUUCACUCUGGGAAGAUUGUUAGGGUUUUGGAAAUCUUGAAGCUAUGAGCAAUGGCUCUAGCUCAGUUUGAGGUUGUAUUGAAGAAAAAAUUAGGCUAAUCUGAUUCUGAUUUGGGUUUUACUUAGGGGGUGUUUGGCUAAGCUCAUUUUAGAGAGGUUGUAUGCUCCAACAGCUUAUAAGAUGUUUAUGAGCUUCUAAAUUGUCAAAGUGUUUGGACAAAUUGAGCUUGUAAGAUAUAGAUAGAAAAUCCUAGUUUGUGAGAGAAAAUUGAAGAGAGAUGGAAUUGGAAGGGUACAUGUUAGAAAUAAGAAACCGUAGUAGGGUUGUUUUUGUAAAUUGAUUAUUGCGUAUAAGAUUAUGAAAAAAUAUGAUGGGGUUGAGGAACUUAUUUUUUGGGUAGCUUAUAAGAUGUUAGAGCUCAUUUCGUGUUUAUUUUUGCCAAACAAUUCUGAAGAGCUUAUAAGUUGUUUAAGGAUCCUAUAACCUCAGCCAAACCAUCUCUUAGUUCAAUUUUUGUUAUCUUUGUUAAUUCAUCGAUGAGUUAAUGUUGAAAGAUUUGACUGUGAUGCUAACUGGAGAUAAAAUGCAUAUUUUGUUGGUGGGGUACUAUUUCAUUUGUGAAGUUCUCA